Molecule: ribosomal RNA, 478 nt
Filed under: uncultured bacterium
Lineage: Bacteria
Description: partial 16S ribosomal RNA
Rfam family: Bacterial small subunit ribosomal RNA
Source: RNAcentral
GACGAACGCUGGCGGCGUGCUUAACACAUGCAAGUCGAGCGAUGAAGUUCCUUCGGGAAUGGAUUAGCGGCGGACGGGUGAGUAACACGUGGGUAACCUGCCUCAUAGAGGGGAAUAGCCUUCCGAAAGGAAGAUUAAUACCGCAUAAGAUUGUAGUUUCGCAUGAAACAGCAAUUAAAGGAGCAAUCCGCUAUGAGAUGGACCCGCGUCGCAUUAGCUGGUUGGUGAGGUAACGGCUCACCAAGGCGACGAUGCGUAGCCGACCUGAGAGGGUGAUCGGCCACAUUGGGACUGAGACACGGCCCAGACUCCUACGGGAGGCAGCAGUGGGGAAUAUUGCACAAUGGGGGAAACCCUGAUGCAGCAACGCCGCGUGAGUGAUGACGGUCUUCGGAUUGUAAAACUCUGUCUUCAGGGACGAUAAUGACGGUACCUGAGGAGGAAGCCACGGCUAACUACGUGCCAGCAGCCGCGGUAA